Molecule: long non-coding RNA, 287 nt
Filed under: Setaria viridis
Lineage: Eukaryota; Viridiplantae; Streptophyta; Magnoliopsida; Poales; Poaceae
Description: long non-coding RNA (SVIR_LNC002232)
Source: RNAcentral
UCUUGUGUCCCUAGAGCAAUAGCAGAUUAACAGGCAAUAGGGAAAACAUCAAAGUAACCAGAAGGUGAUGAAAACAAAAUAGCAACAGCAAAUGUGCAUAAGCAAACAGAAUUUAAACAACAGCAUAUGCAGGGAGAAAGCAAAUUAAAUUAAGUACAGUUGAGGUCUCAACAAGUUCCAGCCAGCAUCACAUCACUACCAUGCCAUGGUUUCUUACAGUUCCACUAAAGUGCAUAAGACACUACACCCAAGAAGACCUCUUGUUCUGCCACAUAGCUAAAGUCCAC